GGUGUUCGCGCAUUUGAAGCCACGGCCACAUGCAAAGAGGAAACCUCCCCGGCAGAGAGUUUCUCCGUGUGACGGAGACCUGCACGCUGUGGGCCCGGCCAUGGAGGACGGACACACCUCUGCGACAAUGGAAGGUGACGGAGACCUGCACGCUGUGGGCCCGGCCAUGGAGGACGGACACACCUCUGCGACAAUGGAAGGUGUGUUAGAUGAAUUUGGUCGUGUAAAUCAGCUCUGCG
Molecule: RNA transcript, 239 nt
Organism: Ixodes scapularis (black-legged tick)
Lineage: Eukaryota; Metazoa; Arthropoda; Arachnida; Ixodida; Ixodidae
Exons: 3
Source: RefSeq, a predicted model, not a curated record